This 639-nucleotide ribosomal RNA is filed under the name Staphylococcus aureus. RNAcentral's name for it is "bacterial LSU rRNA". It matches the Rfam family "Bacterial large subunit ribosomal RNA", at positions 2287 to 2925 of the family's 2925-position model. The record is from RNAcentral. Lineage: Bacteria; Bacillati; Bacillota; Bacilli; Caryophanales; Staphylococcaceae.
CUCCUAAAAGGUAACGGAGGCGCUCAAAGGUUCCCUCAGAAUGGUUGGAAAUCAUUCAUAGAGUGUAAAGGCAUAAGGGAGCUUGACUGCGAGACCUACAAGUCGAGCAGGGUCGAAAGACGGACUUAGUGAUCCGGUGGUUCCGCAUGGAAGGGCCAUCGCUCAACGGAUAAAAGCUACCCCGGGGAUAACAGGCUUAUCUCCCCCAAGAGUUCACAUCGACGGGGAGGUUUGGCACCUCGAUGUCGGCUCAUCGCAUCCUGGGGCUGUAGUCGGUCCCAAGGGUUGGGCUGUUCGCCCAUUAAAGCGGUACGCGAGCUGGGUUCAGAACGUCGUGAGACAGUUCGGUCCCUAUCCGUCGUGGGCGUAGGAAAUUUGAGAGGAGCUGUCCUUAGUACGAGAGGACCGGGAUGGACAUACCUCUGGUGUACCAGUUGUCGUGCCAACGGCAUAGCUGGGUAGCUAUGUGUGGACGGGAUAAGUGCUGAAAGCAUCUAAGCAUGAAGCCCCCCUCAAGAUGAGAUUUCCCAACUUCGGUUAUAAGAUCCCUCAAAGAUGAUGAGGUUAAUAGGUUCGAGGUGGAAGCAUGGUGACAUGUGGAGCUGACGAAUACUAAUCGAUCGAAGACUUAAUCAAAUU